AGAUACGAAAAUCUAACUUUUUCCCAACCUAUGGCCAAGAAAUAUGAAAAUGACAUUGACAAAUGAACUGCUUUAUGCAUUCUAGGAUUAAAGGACCAGGAUAAAGUAUUUCUGCAUAUGUUAUAGCAUGAACAAGCACAUUGGUUCGUCUUAAAUUCAAGUAAUCUAUAAAAAGGGGUUCGGUAAUAACCUACUGUGAAUCACAUAUUACAAUUAUCAUGUUAGCCAGAACAACAUAUUAUAAGAAUGUAAUUUGUACCUCCUACACACAAUUCACAGUAGUUAUAUUUAUGGAUAUCUUUAAAUACCAGACAAAUCAAAUUCAAUUAAUGGGUGUAAAUCACAUUGCCAAAUCCCUCUAUUACACACACCUUUUAUUGGUGGCUGAUGAAAAAUACAACCACACUACAGCAGAGAGGCAAAAGUAUGACUUUGUGUAGAACAUCUGUCAAGGUUUGGACAGAUAGGAGAAAUCCUUUAGAAAGGGAAGACAAGGAUAAAAAUAUCAGUGAAGAAGCAUGUGGGCUGAGAUAGAGGACUGUGAAGGCUGGUGUUUUGACACUUAUCUGAGUUCCUCCAUGACAACACCUCAACAUGCAAUUCGGAGCUGGUGGCCCACAGUGUGUAGAAAACUCCUUUCUGCAGUUGCACCUUAUGCACGUUUCAUUAGGCUCCUUUAAGCUGUGUGUCAAAAAGAAAAUGGGAGGAAUCUCAGAGACUGUGACAGCAGAAACUCUGAGAGAACAGAUCUUGCCUGGUGUGGAUGAGAGAAGUGUUAUGGGGAGAUUUGCCUGUGAGGUGAAAUCAGUUGAAGAAGUAAGUGAUGGGAGAUGCUGCCAAAACAGUUCACAUACUGUGCAAUGUAUGCUCUGUUUGAGGACUGAGAUCUCAGCUUUUGUGUAAAGAGUUUAUGCUUUAUAGUAGAUGUAACCUUUUCCAUGAAACAGGAAGAGGAAUCCAUGUGUAAGAAUUCAGGUGGGACUAGAAUCCUUAUAUAUGGAUUCCUAGAAUUCUUCAGCAUACUUACACUAGGCCCGGUUGCCUUUUGCCUUGCCCAACCACAACUGUUCCCCCCUCCCCAUUCCCCUGCUAUUCUGCACUCACAUUGCACUUAACGUUGCAGGCCUGAACACACUUACGUCAUUACGAUGCAGCUUUUUGUUUACAAGAAAACAGGAAGAAAAGCGCUCUCACACAGCACAAUGGAGUCCAUCAUUGUAAUGUUAUUUAUUUUAAAACAUACUUUUUCAGCUUAGCUUUUACUUUUUUUUUUUUUUUUUGGCUGUUGGUAUGUAUGCUUAUUUUUAUGAUUUGUAUCUAUACAUUAUUAUGUUUUUUUUUUAGGUAAAGCCCCUUUAGUUUAGCUAGUUUAGUUUAGCCUCACACCGCCAGGGUCGGGGGUUCGAUUCCCACUGUGGCCCUGUGUGUGUGGAGUUUGCAUGUUCUCCCAGUGCUGCGGGGGUUUCCUCCGGGUACUCCGGUUUCCUCCCCCAGUCCAAAGACAUGCAUGGUAGGCUGAUUGGCGUGUCUAAAGUGUCCAUAGUGUAUGAAUGGGUGUGUGAGUGUGUAUGUGAUUGUGCCCUGCAAUGGAUUGGCACCCUGUCCAGGGUGUACCUCGCCUUGUGCCCGAUGCUCCCUGGGAUAGGCUCCAGGUUUCCCCGUGACCCUGAAAAGGAGUAAGCGGUAUAGAAGAUGGACGGAUGGAUGGAUUAUUGUGGCUUAUUUGGAGUCGUUUGGAGCACGAAAACCUUUAGGGAGGCAGCUGACAGUCAUAUCACUGAUGUCAUAUUUCGAGUUUCGUGUUCAGCCAUGGUUAACUAUCACACUAGAUGCAUCCUCUGCCUGAGUCCAACUGAACCAUGCCCGAGCCCACCUCUUCAAGUCAAGCGAACUGGACUUUGGGGGUCAAAUGUGUUUGGGCACAGUACAGAUUGUCUAGUGUUAAUGCAAGGAUUCACAGACAAGGUCAAGGUAAAGUGCAACAAGUGAAAUAAUACACUGUCAGAGUGAAAUUAAUAGUUACGUUAUGAUUUGGUGAAAUGAGCCACAGGUCUUAAAGGUCAAGAACUGGUUAUAUGAUGCUGGAGGUGUCACUCCAAAGGUGCUAGAGCCAGCACCUUAUGACCAGCACCUGGCUAUGGGGGUGUGGUGCUGGAGGAUUGUCAUGGUGAAAGCAGCAGCACAUACACCUUAAAGGUGGGAGGUGGUGUUUCUAGGGUUUCAGGGUCUUGCAAGAUACACUGCAGGCCUGACAAUACAUGCCAAGUUGGUCAUAUGCAAAACUGAGUUAGGUAUUCCAAUAUUGCAGCAUUUAUGCAAUUUAAUUCAUUGAAAGGUCACAUGAAGCAAGGAGUUGAGUUUCACAUUUUUCACAUUGAGUCACCAGACCUAAAUUCUGGUGUGCCCUUAAGAUGACCAUUGACUUGGACCUGCCAUCCACUCAUGGAGCCACCUCUCCUCCAGCAAUUUAAUGAAAAAUGCAAGGGUGUACCCCGCCUUGUGCCCGAUGCUCCCUGAGAUAGGCUCCAGGUUUCCCGUGACCCUGAAGGAAGGAUAAGCGGUAUAGAAGAUGGAUGGAUGGAUGGAUGGAUGGAUGGAUGUUACUCCUUGGCACCUAUCUUCUGCACUACCUAUUAUAUCAGACACUUCCACACUAAAACUGUGUACUGUUUGGCGCUACACUGUCACUUACUGUGCAUAUUGUCCUGUUUUUAGUAGUACUGUACUGUCAUGUUUUGUUAGCACACGUCUGCACGUGCACUUUGUGUAGUAUGUUUGUAGAUAUUAUUUAGUUCUGCGUCAUCUCACGUGGUUAGUGUGUUGUUUUAUGUAGCACCAUGGUCCUAGAGGAAUGUUGUUUUGUUUCACUGUGUACUGUACCAGCUGUAUAUGGUUGAAAUGACAAUAAAACCACUUGAACUUGA
Molecule: long non-coding RNA, 2924 nt
Organism: Ictalurus furcatus (blue catfish)
Lineage: Eukaryota; Metazoa; Chordata; Actinopteri; Siluriformes; Ictaluridae
Exons: 5
Source: RefSeq, a predicted model, not a curated record